This 283-nucleotide small RNA is filed under the name Psychromonas ingrahamii 37. RNAcentral describes it as "5' ureB small RNA". It matches the Rfam family "5' ureB small RNA". The record is from Rfam by way of RNAcentral. Lineage: Bacteria; Pseudomonadati; Pseudomonadota; Gammaproteobacteria; Alteromonadales; Psychromonadaceae.
CCUCUUCAAUCUGCUGCGGGCAAAUAAAGUGAAUAUGCGCAUCAAUGCCGCCGGCGGUUAAUAUUUUACCUUCACCAGCAAUCACUUCGGUACCCGGGCCAAUUUCGAUAUCAAUAUUGUCCUGAAUAUCCGGGUUGCCUGCUUUACCUAUAAUAGCGAUUCGGCCUUCUUUAAUGCCCACAUCGGCUUUAAUUAUUCCCCAGUGAUCAACAAUCAGCGCGUUGGUUAUAACCAAGUCCACGGUAUCAAAACAGGAUGCCUGGCUUUGUCCCAUGCCGUCACG